Molecule: non-coding RNA, 126 nt
Organism: Myotis lucifugus (little brown bat)
Lineage: Eukaryota; Metazoa; Chordata; Mammalia; Chiroptera; Vespertilionidae
Source: Rfam
CUUGCACCAGUGGGGUCCCUCGGCCUGGCCUGUGCCCUCUUGCAAUCCAGGAUCCCACAGGAGAUGUUGGAGAGCCGGUUUUGGCCCGAUCCCGCAGGCCAGGCCGAGGGACCCCACUGGUGCAUG